This 465-nucleotide ribosomal RNA is filed under the name uncultured bacterium. Its description in RNAcentral is "partial 16S ribosomal RNA". It matches the Rfam family "Bacterial small subunit ribosomal RNA", at positions 339 to 795 of the family's 1533-position model. The record is from RNAcentral.
CUACGGGUGGCUCCAGUGAGGAAUUUUGCGCAAUGGGGGGAACCCUGACGCAGCAACGCCGCGUGAGUGAAGAAGGCCUUUGGGUCGUAAAGCUCUGUCAACUGGGAAGAAAUUAGAGUUGUUUAACAGAUGAUUCUAUUGACGGUACCAGUGGAGGAAGCGCCGGCUAACUCCGUGCCAGCAGCCGCGGUAACACGGGGGGCGCAAGCGUUAUUCGGAAUUAUUGGGCGUAAAGGGCGCGCAGGCGGUCUUGUCGGUCAGGUGUGAAAGCCCGGGGCUCAACCCUGGAAGUGCACUUGAAACAGAAAGACUUGAGUACGGGAGAGGAAAGCGGAAUUCCUGGUGUAGAGUAGAAAUUCGUAGAUAUCAGGAGGAACACCGAUGGCGAAGGCAGCUUUCUGGACCGAUACUGACGCUGAGGCGCGAAGGCGUGGGUAGCGAACGGGAUUAGAUACCCCCGUAGUC